GGUCGUAUCGGUCGAUUGGGAAACUCAUCAAUUAAUAACAAAUUCCGAGACAAGCUCACCGUUUCUAAUGGCGGGUCACACCCUUCGGGGUUGCUUUAUGCGCAGUGAAUUACAAAGGGGGCGGGGCACUCAAAUCCUGUUUUACGGAGUUUCGUCAUAUUCCAUCGGUACGGCUCUUCUU
Molecule: small RNA, 181 nt
Filed under: Indolivaga macrotermitis
Lineage: Bacteria; Pseudomonadati; Bacteroidota; Bacteroidia; Bacteroidales; Dysgonomonadaceae
Description: Dysgonomonas macrotermitis Bacteroidales-1 6S-Bacteroidales RNA suggested
Rfam family: Bacteroidales-1 6S-Bacteroidales RNA suggested
Source: Rfam by way of RNAcentral